This 84-nucleotide transfer RNA is filed under the name Echinostoma caproni. It matches the Rfam family "tRNA". From Rfam's summary of the family: Transfer RNA (tRNA) molecules are approximately 80 nucleotides in length. The record is from Rfam by way of RNAcentral. Lineage: Eukaryota; Metazoa; Platyhelminthes; Trematoda; Plagiorchiida; Echinostomatidae.
GGCCUCGUAGCUCAGCUGGCAGAGCGUGCGCGUACAAAGCGUAGGCGGCGUCCAUGCAUGUGGGUUCGAUUCCCACCGAGGCUA